This 468-nucleotide ribosomal RNA is filed under the name uncultured bacterium. Its description in RNAcentral is "partial 16S ribosomal RNA". It matches the Rfam family "Bacterial small subunit ribosomal RNA", at positions 28 to 507 of the family's 1533-position model. The record is from RNAcentral.
GACGAACGCUGGCGGCGUGCUUAACACAUGCAAGUCGAACGGUGAAGCUCCAGCUUGCUGGAGUGGAUCAGUGGCGAACGGGUGAGUAACACGUGAGCAACCUGCCCCAGACUCUGGAAUAAGCGCUGGAAACGGCAUCUAAUACUGGAUACGAGAUCAAGCCGCAUGGUUAUGGUCUGGAAAGUUUUUCGGUUUGGGAUGGGCUCGCGGCCUAUCAGCUUGUUGGUGAGGUAAUGGCUCACCAAGGCGACGACGGGUAGCCGGCCUGAGAGGGCGACCGGCCACACUGGGACUGAGACACGGCCCAGACUCCUACGGGAGGCAGCAGUGGGGAAUAUUGCACAAUGGGCGAAAGCCUGAUGCAGCGACGCCGCGUGAGGGAUGACGGCCUUCGGGUUGUAAACCUCUUUCAGCAGGGAAGAAGCGAAAGUGACGGUACCUGCAGAAGAAGCACCGGCUAACUACGUG